Molecule: non-coding RNA, 212 nt
Rfam family: Antisense RNA which regulates isiA expression
Source: Rfam
AAUAACCAAAAAUAACACUUGGGCUAAGGGUCAAGUUGAUAAUUUUUCUUACAUCCCCUCCCCCCCUCCCCCCCCCCGGGAGCCCAGGUAUCAUACACGCCCCCAAAAUGAAGAGCCUUGAAUACUAGAAGAAAAGCACCUAUACCUAACAAGAUUAGGUGAAUACCCAAAAUUGUGGUUGAGACGACUUAAAAAUAAUUUUUAACUUCCAA